GGGACACGUGGUAUCCUGUCUGAAUAUGGGGGGACCAUCCUCCAAGGCUAAAUACUCCUGACUGACCGAUAGUGAACCAGUACCGUGAGGGAAAGGCGAAAAGAACCCCGGCGAGGGGAGUGAAAAAGAACCUGAAACCGUGUACGUACAAGCAGUGGGAGCACGCUUAGGCGUGUGACUGCGUACCUUUUGUAUAAUGGGUCAGCGACUUAUAUUCUGUAGCAAGGUUAACCGAAUAGGGGAGCCGAAGGGAAACCGAGUCUUAACUGGGCGUUAAGUUGCAGGGUAUAGACCCGAAACCCGGUGAUCUAGCCAUGGGCAGGUUGAAGGUUGGGUAACACUAACUGGAGGACCGAACCGACUAAUGUUGAAAAAUUAGCGGAUGACUUGUGGCUGGGGGUGAAAGGCCAAUCAAACCGGGAGAUAGCUGGUUCUCCCCGAAAGCUAUUUAGGUAGCGCCUCG
Molecule: ribosomal RNA, 463 nt
Filed under: Escherichia coli
Lineage: Bacteria; Pseudomonadati; Pseudomonadota; Gammaproteobacteria; Enterobacterales; Enterobacteriaceae
Description: partial 23S ribosomal RNA
Rfam family: Bacterial large subunit ribosomal RNA
Source: RNAcentral